Molecule: long non-coding RNA, 2619 nt
Organism: Siniperca chuatsi (mandarin fish)
Lineage: Eukaryota; Metazoa; Chordata; Actinopteri; Centrarchiformes; Sinipercidae
Exons: 3
Source: RefSeq, a predicted model, not a curated record
CUAAAUUGACCUUGAGGUGAGUAUGUUCUAUCAAAAGACCAAUUAUCACUUGGUUAUUUCUGAUGUACCAUCCUGGUGAAGACUGGCUGGCUGCUGACGUCACAUUUAUGCACCACUUCUUGCUUUUGGAUGCUUAUCAUGUAACUGCAACAUCCAGAGCUUGAAUCUGACCAGGGAGCUUUAUCUAAAUAUUUCCCUCCUCUCUCUGCUGUUACCAAAAAUGUAAAAAAAUAAUAAUAAUAAUAAUCACAACAUGACUGUAAUUCGUGAUAAACUCCAACUGUGAAACCAAAUACAAAGCUGAAUUUGUCAUCACCUUGAUUAAAACCCAGGGCUCCUGUGAGUCUGCUGCCCCACCGAGUGAGAUAAGCACCAGUAUGACUGCCAGAGAAACCUCCACUGUACUGUAGGUACUGUGUCUGUGUAACCCCUGUGGCUUUCUGUGUGCAGUUGUCUCUUUUUAAGACCAAAGGAAUGACAGCCUGACCUUACCAAACCCUACAAGCUGACAAAAUGAUUUAUAGUAGCUGCUGAUGAGUGAAUUUGGCAGUUUUCCCCCCAACUGUAUAAAUACCUUCAGACAACCUCCACUCUUCAGUCGAGUACUGUCUGGAACGGUAACAAAUCCAACAGCUUUCUCUUUGAAUCAGGGCAUUUAUAUGACGAGGACAUAUCAACAGAGAGCACACAGUUUGCAAUACAUUAGAUUUCUGCUGAUCAGCAGUGGUGACAGAGAGAGGUGAUGUUUACUCUGCAUUUCUCUCUCUCUCUUUUUCACUGUAGGUUUCUACAUCUCUCUGAUAUGAAUACAUUUAAAGGAUCAGUUCACACAAAUGACAAAAAACUUUGAGCUGCGGCAGAAGUUCCAUUCAACUGAGCUAUCUCCAUGGCAACUGAGCAAACUCCCAUCCACUGAGGACGACUAUGGAAUGUGGUUGAAAGCUCUGGAAAAAACUGGUUCACCUUCUACCUCCAUAUGUGUGAUCUAAAGCACCGGCCAUGAUGUCUCUGUGUUCAGCACAGAAGCCUAUCGGCUGUUGCAGUGGACACGUGCUAUCGCUGCCAGUUGCCCAAAGUUUUUAUCUGCAAAGUUCCAGCCCAAAAGAUUUCAAUUGAAAGCAGUAAUUCAGCUGGGAUGAAAAUGACGGCAGCAGAAGACACUGCCAGCUCUGCCACCUCGUUGCGGUGCCGAAGUUUGGAAGACUGGCGAGGGGAAUGAGACUCUCUGAUGUCAUCCAUGACCCAGGUCAUCUCUAAACCCAGAGCAGAGCUGUAAUGGCCUCCUCCACAGGCACUGCGCUGUGGCCAGGAGGACUGGCUGUGACUCAAAUUAAGGAACCAUAAAAGGCCCAUAAAUUUGUAGGGAAUCCGCUGAGAAUGGUAUGAAAAGGGGACAGACACAAAGAGUAGCAGCUAAGUUGUGUCCUCUUGGAGUCAUAAAUGUGUGUUCUGCGGCCAUUUGCAACGCCAAGACACAGCUGUGCUCUGUAUAAACCAUAAUCAGAUUAAAAUUCUUCUUUUAAAAUACAAUUUAAAACACAACAGCAAUGAACAAUGUACAUCUACCAUACCAGUAGAUUCAUGAGGCUUCACUCAGUCUCCCUUUUUAAAUUAAAUAAAUGGCGGUUUCAUAUCCUCACAACCCCAACCAACUAUGACUAUACUCCCACACUCUGUAAUGAAGGUAAUGUUCCCAUAAUUGCCCUGAAUCUUAGCACUGGUGUGGUCACCAUGGCAACACAAUUAAAUGUGUUGCAGAACAAGACAAACUCUUUCAACAAAGGGAUGUCUUUACAAAUUUACAACAUUUAAAGAAUACAUUAAAUAUUUGUUUCUUCUUGUAAUUAGUCUAAUUUGUUUAUCCUGCUUUGACUUUGAGGAGAGGUAUUUGUAUCGACAGUGUUACGUAAAUAUAAAGCCACAACUCAGUGGAAACACUCAACAGGAUGAAAAUAGAGAAGUUAGAAAGCUAAAUUGGAAACUUGCAUAAAAGCUAACUCUGUAACCACCGAUUCUUCAUUUAUCCAGAUCUUCCCACUUUUAAUUUACAUUUAACUUUUGCAAUUUAAUUGAUGCAUAAUUUAGUAUUGCAAAGUUGCCAGUUUAUUAGGUACACCUUGCUAAAGCUAAUGCAGUCUAAUACAACAGCCCUGCAAUAAAUCCUACCUUCGUAAAGGUUGUAAUGUUUAGUUUUUGUUGAAAUUGUUGCGUUUUUGACUUGUAAUGCGUUAGACUGAGAGGUGUUUCUAAUAUUUUGACUCCUCCGUUUAUAUUAAUGACGGUAGACUAGAUAUUAGACUGAAUUUAGUUUUAGCCAGGUGUACCUAAUAAACUGAGUGUAUGUGUUUAGUGUUGCCAAGGGACUGCAGAUGUAAAUGUCAAUUCAAUUUAAAAUACUUUAUUCGUCCCUCAAGGGGCAAUUUGGAAUGGAUAGAUAUAUAAAUGUGUGUAUAUAAUGUAUGUUGGUGAAUAAAGCAUAGAUUCUACACUGCUGUAUGUAACAGUGACUGUAAUGCUCAAUUAAACAAACAAUUAACUGUAACAUGACUAAUGCCUGUCUAUUCAGAAGCACUGCAUUUUAGAACUACAAGCAAUCAUUCCUACUCGACAUUAGUUUGA